RNAcentral lists this long non-coding RNA (244 nucleotides) under Brassica napus (rape). RNAcentral's name for it is "long non-coding RNA (BNAP_LNC024847)". The record is from RNAcentral. Lineage: Eukaryota; Viridiplantae; Streptophyta; Magnoliopsida; Brassicales; Brassicaceae.
UACUGCGAUGGAUUUACGAAGCAAGCUAUGUUGUGAGAUGUUCGAUCUGUUUAUGGAUAAAGAUUUCCAGGAAGGUUGCAGAAGGUGAUCAUUCCGUUUCUGUUAGAUGUUUGUGUCUGUUUAAUGUCUUCUUUCAUAGGAUUGUGCUCUGUUCUGAUGUGUUAGGAUGGUUGCUCUGUUGUUUAAGCAGUCUGUUUUUGUUUCUCUAUGUGAAUCUACGGUUAAAAGUUUAAAUUGUUGAUGA